Molecule: transfer RNA, 76 nt
Filed under: Chloroflexota bacterium
Lineage: Bacteria; Bacillati; Chloroflexota
Description: Chloroflexi bacterium tRNA-Thr
Rfam family: tRNA
About the family: Transfer RNA (tRNA) molecules are approximately 80 nucleotides in length. Their secondary structure includes four short double-helical elements and three loops (D, anti-codon, and T loops). Further hydrogen bonds mediate the characteristic L-shaped molecular structure. tRNAs have two regions of fundamental functional importance: the anti-codon, which is responsible for specific mRNA codon recognition, and the 3' end, to which the tRNAs corresponding amino acid is attached (by aminoacyl-tRNA synthetases). tRNAs cope with the degeneracy of the genetic code in two manners: having more than one tRNA (with a specific anti-codon) for a particular amino acid; and 'wobble' base-pairing, i.e. permitting non-standard base-pairing at the 3rd anti-codon position.
Source: RNAcentral
GCCACCCUAGCUCAAUCGGCAGAGCAACCGCUUCGUAAGCGGUCGGUUUUGGGUUCAAGUCCCAAGGGUGGCUCUA